Molecule: ribosomal RNA, 605 nt
Filed under: Paralauterborniella sp. 1 SRM-2010
Lineage: Eukaryota; Metazoa; Arthropoda; Insecta; Diptera; Chironomidae
Description: eukaryotic LSU rRNA
Rfam family: Eukaryotic large subunit ribosomal RNA
Source: RNAcentral
UUCAAUACUGCCCAUUUAAACGCGCAGUGUGCACUUUUCUCUUAGUAAGACGCCGUGAUCCAUUAGAAAUUGGUGCAUUCAAGAUGUACAGUAGGUCAUCAAUAGGCUAGUGUGAAGUUUAUUUGGAACAAAUGGCAUGAUCUUUUAACGGUCGUGUGUAUUGUCUGGUAAGCACAUUAUGUCCCUGUAAUGACUGUCUGAUGGAUUUUAAAGAUUAUAUUAUUAAUGCCUCGUGCAUUAUGCACUGUAAAGUGUAAAUUUAUGAUAUGUAUCUGAUCAACGGCGGUUAAAUUUGGGAUACCUUUUGGACCCGUCUUGAAACACGGACCAAGGAGUCUAUCUAGUAUGCGAGUAAAUGGGUAGUUUAUGAAACCUAUUUGCAUAAUAAACUUGACUGUUUUUAAUGGGAUUACAUGGUUAAAAAUUCGGUUAAACGAAUUGGCCAUUUCCAUCCCGGAGUAUUUUUAUCAACAUAUAUGUAUGUAUAUGGAAAAUAUAUCAUGAGCACACUGGAUACGACCCGAAAGAUGGUGAACUAUGCCUGAUCAGGUUGAAGUCAGGGGAAACCCUGAUGGAGGACCGAAGCAGUUCUGACGUGCAAAUCG